This 538-nucleotide ribosomal RNA is filed under the name uncultured bacterium. RNAcentral describes it as "bacterial SSU rRNA". It matches the Rfam family "Bacterial small subunit ribosomal RNA", at positions 777 to 1312 of the family's 1533-position model. The record is from RNAcentral.
AAUAGAUACCCGGGUAGUCCACGCCGUAAACGAUGAGUGCUAAGUGUUAGAGGGUUUCCGCCCUUUAGUGCUGCAGCAAACGCAUUAAGCACUCCGCCUGGGGAGUACGGUCGCAAGACUGAAACUCAAAGGAAUUGACGGGGGGCCCGCACAAGCGGUGGAGCAUGUGGUUUAAUUCGAAGCAACGCGAAGAACCUUACCAGGUCUUGACAUCCUCUGACACUCCUAGAGAUAGGAAUUUCCCCUUCGGGGGACAGGGUGACAGGUGGUGCAUGGUUGUCGUCAGCUCGUGUCGUGAGAUGUUGGGUUAAGUCCCGCAACGAGCGCAACCCUUGAUCUUAGUUGCCAGCAUUCAGUUGGGCACUCUAAGGUGACUGCCGGUGACAAACCGGAGGAAGGUGGGGAUGACGUCAAAUCAUCAUGCCCCUUAUGACCUGGGCUACACACGUGCUACAAUGGAUGGUACAAAGGGCAGCGAAACCGCGAGGUUAAGCCAAUCCCAUAAAACCAUUCUCAGUUCGGAUUGCAGGCUGCAACG